This 69-nucleotide transfer RNA is filed under the name Phrynosoma platyrhinos (Desert horned lizard). RNAcentral describes it as "tRNA-OTHER". The record is from RNAcentral. Lineage: Eukaryota; Metazoa; Chordata; Lepidosauria; Squamata; Phrynosomatidae.
GCGAGUGUGGCGUAGUGGUUUGAGUGUUGGUCUACGACUCUGAGGACCAGGGUUCGAUUCCCACUUGGC